Molecule: long non-coding RNA, 115 nt
Filed under: Fukomys damarensis (Damara mole-rat)
Lineage: Eukaryota; Metazoa; Chordata; Mammalia; Rodentia; Bathyergidae
Description: lncRNA (ENSFDAG00000027384.1)
Source: RNAcentral
CAGGGCUGUGGUGAGAUGUUAAAAAGACCAAACAAGAGAGUGCUCUGCACUUCGUGAAAACUAGCCACCAGGAGGCUCCCACAAAUGCCCAAAUUUAGAAGCCAGCAACUGCGCU